GAUGAACGCUAGCUACAGGCUUAACACAUGCAAGUCGAGGGGCAGCAUGGUCUUAGCUUGCUAAGGCCGAUGGCGACCGGCGCACGGGUGAGUAACACGUAUCCAACCUGCCGUCUACUCUUGGACAGCCUUCUGAAAGGAAGAUUAAUACAAGAUGGCAUCAUGAGUCCACAUGUUCACAUGAUUAAAGGUAUUCCGGUAGACGAUGGGGAUGCGUUCCAUUAGAUAGUAGGCGGGGUAAUGGCCCACCUAGUCUUCGAUGGAUAGGGGUUCUGAGAGGAAGGUCCCCCACAUUGGAACUGAGACACGGUCCAAACUCCUACGGGAGGCAGCAGUGAGGAAUAUUGGUCAAUGGGCGAGAGCCUGAACCAGCCAAGUAGCGUGAAGGAUGACUGCCCUAUGGGUUGUAAACUUCUUUUAUAAAGGAAUAAAGUCGGGUAUGCAUACCCGUUUGCAUGUACUUUAUGAAUAAGGAUCGGCUAACUCCGUGCCAGCAGCCGCGGUAAUACGGAGGAUCCGAGCGUUAUCCGGAUUUAUUGGGUUUAAAGGGAGCGUAGAUGGAUGUUUAAGUCAGUUGUGAAAGUUUGCGGCUCAACCGUAAAAUUGCAGUUGAUACUGGAUAUCUUGAGUGCAGUUGAGGCAGGCGGAAUUCGUGGUGUAGCGGUGAAAUGCUUAGAUAUCACGAAGAACUCCGAUUGCGAAGGCAGCCUGCUAAGCUGCAACUGACAUUGAGGCUCGAAAGUGUGGGUAUCAAACAGGAUUAGAUACCCUGGUAGUCCACACGGUAAACGAUGAAUACUCGCUGUUUGCGAUAUACAGCAAGCGGCCAAGCGAAAGCGUUAAGUAUUCCACCUGGGGAGUACGCCGGCAACGGUGAAACUCAAAGGAAUUGACGGGGGCCCGCACAAGCGGAGGAACAUGUGGUUUAAUUCGAUGAUACGCGAGGAACCUCACCCGGGCUUAAAUUGCAGAUGAAUUACGGUGAAAGCCGUAAGCCGCAAGGCAUCUGUGAAGGUGCUGCAUGGUUGUCGUCAGCUCGUGCCGUGAGGUGUCGGCUUAAGUGCCAUAACGAGCGCAACCCUUGUUGUCAGUUACUAACAGGUUCCGCUGAGGACUCUGACAAGACUGCCAUCGUAAGAUGUGAGGAAGGUGGGGAUGACGUCAAAUCAGCACGGCCCUUACGUCCGGGGCUACACACGUGUUACAAUGGGGGGUACAGAGGGCCGCUACCACGCGAGUGGAUGCCAAUCCCAAAAACCUCUCUCAGUUCGGACUGGAGUCUGCAACCCGACUCCACGAAGCUGGAUUCGCUAGUAAUCGCGCAUCAGCCACGGCGCGGUGAAUACGUUCCCGGGCCU
This 1358-nucleotide ribosomal RNA is filed under the name uncultured bacterium. Its description in RNAcentral is "bacterial SSU rRNA". It matches the Rfam family "Bacterial small subunit ribosomal RNA", at positions 28 to 1381 of the family's 1533-position model. The record is from RNAcentral.